Molecule: long non-coding RNA, 3082 nt
Organism: Cyprinus carpio (common carp)
Lineage: Eukaryota; Metazoa; Chordata; Actinopteri; Cypriniformes; Cyprinidae
Source: RefSeq, a predicted model, not a curated record
AAUUAAGCAUGGAGACGGGAGGUUAAAAGAUCAUUUAAGAGUUUAAAAUGUUUAAAACAUUUAUGACAUACCAUAUACUAAUGCAUGACAGAUAGAUAUGUUGUAGAGAUAAGCCAUAUGUUAAGAAAUACGCAAGAAGAGAGAGGAGGAAAGGCAGCAGCAGAGGAUGAGAGAAGAAUGGAGUUUGAUGCUGGAGCGUCAUCAUUGCCUAGUGACUCUCCUAGCAACAGGAAACAUCUGUUUCAGCGUCGACCAAUCAGGAACCGGUGCAGGAUUGCUCGCUGCACAGAAAGGGGAUAUUUUAAGAGCCGAGAGUGAGCCGAAUACUACAGGGAUUAUAUCAAAAGCAAGACUUCGACAUCUGGGGGCGAAGCGUCAAGCUCACGCGGAGCUGAAACCGGCUACAUUCGGCACAGUAUGAGCUGUUUUGAGCCUCUGGUUUGAUGAAUAAUGCGCGUGCGGGGAUUGCUAAUGUGGCUUUAGAAAUAAGGAACCAUUAGGCAAUGUGUGUGAGCCAGAGGAAAGCGUCUCAGGUGAAUAGAGGAUUUGUCAGAGAGGUGUGUGAUUGUGUCUGCUUGAAGCAGUUCUCAGGGUCUUUCCUCUAAGAGUGCCCUCAACAGUCAACAACGUCGAAAGUCGCCUAUUUUAAGCGAAAAUAUGCGGAAGAGGAGGAUGUUCAGGGAAGCCUACAUGGAUAUUUACAAAAACACCUGAUCCUUCGUGAGGAGCGCAGCUGCAUCCUGCGCCUGUCUCUGCAGAAGCUGCGUUUCCUAGACGACCCUGAGGCUUACCUUCACCGCUCUGUGCUCAUCAACAACCUGCUACGCAAGAUCCACCUGGACGAAGCCCAGAGGGAGAGAGAGAGACAGAGAGAUGACAAGGAAGAGGGAGAGGAGACAGAGUGGAGGCGGAAGAGACUGAAGGUUGUGCUCAAGGAGUUCCAGCAGUACAAGCUGCUGCCGUAUUCAUCCUCCCCAGCCUCAUGCAUCUGUGGCCUGGGCAGCUGCCACACCCUGCCUCCUGAUCAUGGAGCUUCAAUGCUACUCUACCAUUUGGAUGAUAAAGGAUAAGAUGUCAUCGCGCACAUGCAGGGGAUUUUUCCAACUGUCUACGACUGAUUUCCAGGAGCCAGCAUUAAGGAAGAAGGGGAUUCGGGUUUGUGUGCAUUUGUGCUUGUGCUGGUGAGCGUGAGCGCUGCGGUUUGUGAUGUGACAGGUGUUAUACAUAUCAGGGUGUGUUUUUCCAACCGGAAAAAGAUAUCAUCCUGUUAUCACUGCCUCACUCUGUUGAUAUGAACUUUGACCACAGACAUUUUGUUUUCAUAAAUUUGCUUGAGUGAGCUAUAAUCUUAAGCAUUGUUUUCAGGGAUAAAAAAGGCAAACAAAAAGCCAUGCACCUUGUGGUUGUUAUAUUAUGUUGUUAGAAAAAAAAAAGAGACGAAAAUAAAAAUUUAAAGUGUCAAAGUCCCAGCUGCUCUUAAGGAUAGAGUGAUUUUACUUAAGCUUUGUUGCUGUGAAAUUGACUUUUUUGUGUAAGUGGCUACUGGUGUCGAACUAGUAAUGAUUUUUUAAAAGACAUUUCCUUACCUUUAACAAAAUAAAUAAAACAAAAUAGGAAAAUGUAUGAGGGCGAAUGAGCAGUGAAAAUAAUAUUUCUUUCAAGGCCUUCUGGCUUUUGGUUUAAACAGGGUCUCGCUCUCUGCAAAAAAAGGCACAAAUCUGUCACCAUAUCAGGCAGUCCAUUUCAAAAUGUACUAAUAUGUACUUUUUAAGCACUAAUAUGCACAUUUAAGAUACUAAUAUGUACCAGCCCAAUGAUAGUUUUGUACCUUUUUUUCUGGGAGUGUAGUGACAUGCAGCCUUCACAUUGUAAAAACAAUUUACUGCAUUUGCUACUUGUGUUUCAUUUCAUACAGCCUCAUUCAAGGCUUUUGGCAGAAACUGUUAUGUUAAGGUAACUCUGCCAUCUAGUGUCAUGGCUAUGAAUUAUCAGCUACAUAGAUCUCUUUGAUUUAUUCAUGCUAUCAACUGCACUACCUACAGUUUAUAAUGCUGUUUUACACUCAUUUGACCUUUUUAACAAAUUUAGGUUUUCUGGCCAGUAUACUGAGUUUCCAAUGCCUCCUUUUACACACACACACACACACACACACACACACACACACACACACACACACACACACACACACACACAUUUCUAGCUCUCUAAUCUUUGGAUCUGAAAACCCUAUGUGGGUGUCAGAAUAUCAGAACAAUUGUCUAGAUUCACUGCACAGACCCACGGUUUAACUAACAGGGAAAACAAGGUACACAUGCGCAAUGUAGUGUAAAUUACGCCGUUCUCUCUUAUACAGAACCUCAGACGAUCCUCUUCUUGUCUCAUAUUGCUGUACAUCUCACAUAUUUUGGUUACAUAAAGUUUUCUAACAGGUAAAGUUGUGCAAAAAUAUUUUGGUACGGUUAAUAAUGACUGGUACUCUUACUAUUAAUAUUUUGUGUGUUUGUUUAUGCACAUUUGUAUGUGAAUUGCAAUUUUUCAAUAUCUGAAUGUAAUUUACUGAAAUCUAAAUUCAGAGUGCUAUCUUUUGGACAUUUCAAAUCAUAGACAUAGAUAUCCAGUUUAUUUUGAAAUGGAAUUAUUUUUGUUUCAAAGAGAACACUAUUGCUCAGAGAAUCUAGUGCUAUUUUGCCAAAAGAUUUAAAAGUAGCAUAUGAGAAUUGUCUAUUUUCAUGGCACUGUAGUCAAAUAAAAUAUAAUAUUGAAUGUUUCACGAAGUCCUUUCUAUUUAUCUGUGUAAACUAAAUAUAUGCACGUAAAAACUGUAUCAGUAUUGGCCUUUUCCUCCAGCAUGUGCGGCCGCUCCCGAGUCACAGUGAUGGCGGAAGGUCGGGCAUACACUUGCGUUGAGUCGGGCCGAAUUUCAGUUUUAUAGUGCAGUGUACAGGUGAACGAGGGGUGAUUAGCUGCUCCCGAGCUGCAAUCGGAUGGUCGGAUGAAUUUCUGACAUGUCAGAAAUAAAAUAUUGCUAAACGUUUCUUUGACAAAAGUGGUCUUACUCCAGGGGGUGCUUUGUGGCACUAGA